Molecule: ribosomal RNA, 465 nt
Filed under: uncultured bacterium
Lineage: Bacteria
Description: partial 16S ribosomal RNA
Rfam family: Bacterial small subunit ribosomal RNA
Source: RNAcentral
GACGAACGCUGGCGGCGUGCUUAACACAUGCAAGUCGAACGGAAAGGCCCCCUUGUGGGGUACUCGAGUGGCGAACGGGUGAGUAACACGUGAGUAACCUACCCUUUACUUUGGGAUAACUUCAGGAAACUGGGGCUAAUACCGGAUAGGAGCUCCUGCUGCAUGGUGGGGGUUGGAAAGUUUCGGCGGUUGGGGAUGGACUCGCGGCUUAUCAGCUUGUUGGUGGGGUAGUGGCUAACCAAGGCUUUGACGGGUAGCCGGCCUGAGAGGGUGACCGGCCACAUUGGGACUGAGAUACGGCCCAGACUCCUACGGGAGGCAGCAGUGGGGAAUAUUGCACAAUGGGCAGAAGCCUGAUGCAGCAACGCCGCGUGCGGGAUGACGGCCUUCGGGUUGUAAACCGCUUUCGCCUGUGACGAAGCGUGAGUGACGGUAAUGGGUAAAGAAGCACCGGCUAACUACGUG